Molecule: ribosomal RNA, 468 nt
Filed under: uncultured bacterium
Lineage: Bacteria
Description: partial 16S ribosomal RNA
Rfam family: Bacterial small subunit ribosomal RNA
Source: RNAcentral
GACGAACGCUGGCGGCGUGCUUAACACAUGCAAGUCGAACGGAAAGGCCCUGCUUUUGUGGGGUGCUCGAGUGGCGAACGGGUGAGUAACACGUGAGUAACCUGCCCUUGACUUUGGGAUAACUUCAGGAAACUGGGGCUAAUACCGGAUAGGAGCUCCUGCUGCAUGGUGGGGGUUGGAAAGUUUCGGCGGUUGGGGAUGGACUCGCGGCUUAUCAGCUUGUUGGUGGGGUAGUGGCUUACCAAGGCUUUGAAGGGUAGCCGGCCUGGGAGGGGAGCCGGCGACAAGAGUACUAAGAGACGGCCCAGACGCCUACGGUAGGCAGCAGGGGAGAAUAUUGCACAGUAGGCGGAAGCCAGAUGCAGCGGCGCCGCGUGCGGGAUGACGGCCUUCGGGUGAUAAACCGCUUUCGCCGGAGACGAGGCGUGAGUGACGGUAAUGGGUAAGGAAGCACCGGCUAACUACGUG